GGUGUGCUUGCUCCCUCUGAUCAUUGGGAGAAGGUUCUGGUUCCACAUCUUUCUCUGCAACCCAUCCAUACCAGCCUUCUUUUUCAUGUCGAUAAAUAGGUCGAUCAGGAGGAGGUGGUAGAGGUCUUGGUCGGGGCCCGGCCUUGUCCCAUUCUUCUUUUAGUUGAUUUGCGCUUUGAUAGGUCGAUCAGGAGGAGGUGGUAAAGGUCUUGGUCGGGGCCCGGCCUUGUCCCAUUCUUCUUUUAGUUGAUUUGCGCUUUUUGCGGGUAAAAGCUGAUCAGGAUCAGGCGGAAGGGGAGUUUCUCGGCCAACUAAAGUGGCUAGCUCUUUUUUGCUGCACAAUG
Molecule: long non-coding RNA, 344 nt
Filed under: Nicotiana benthamiana
Lineage: Eukaryota; Viridiplantae; Streptophyta; Magnoliopsida; Solanales; Solanaceae
Description: long non-coding RNA (NBEN_LNC042097)
Source: RNAcentral